GACGGGGGGGGGCAAGCGUUGUUCGGAAUUAUUGGGCGUAAAGGGCUCGUAGGCGGAUCCGCCAGUUUGACGUGAAAUCUCCACCGCUCACCGGGGAGAGGUCGUUGAAUACUACGGAUCUGGAGUUCGGCAGAGGACCAUGGAAUUUCGGGUGUAGCGGUGGAAUGCGUAGAUAUCCGAAAGAACACCGGUGGCGAAGGCGGUGGAUCGUGGGCCUGGAACUGACGCUGAGGAGCGAAAGCCAGGGGAAGCCAAAGCGGG
RNAcentral lists this ribosomal RNA (261 nucleotides) under uncultured bacterium. RNAcentral describes it as "partial 16S ribosomal RNA". It matches the Rfam family "Bacterial small subunit ribosomal RNA", at positions 524 to 777 of the family's 1533-position model. The record is from RNAcentral.